UACGUAGGUGGCAAGCGUUGUCCGGAUUUACUGGGCGUACAGAGCGCGCAGGCGGUCGUUCAAGUCGCGUGUGAAAGCCCCCGGCUCAACUGGGGAGGGUCACGCGAUACUGAUCGACUCGAAGGCAGGAGAGGGUAGUGGAAUUCCCGGUGUAGUGGUGAAAUGCGUAGAUAUCGGGAGGAAUACCAGUGGCGAAGGCGGCUUCCUGGCCUGUUCUUGACGCUGAGGCGCGAAAGCUAGGGUAGCAAACGGG
Molecule: ribosomal RNA, 253 nt
Filed under: uncultured bacterium
Lineage: Bacteria
Description: partial 16S ribosomal RNA
Rfam family: Bacterial small subunit ribosomal RNA
Source: RNAcentral